This 567-nucleotide long non-coding RNA is filed under the name Mastacembelus armatus (zig-zag eel). Its description in RNAcentral is "lncRNA (ENSMAMG00000027834.1)". Lineage: Eukaryota; Metazoa; Chordata; Actinopteri; Synbranchiformes; Mastacembelidae. The record is from RNAcentral.
UUCGCACUUUCUGCUCAGUCAAAGCGAGCUCGGAUACUUUUAAUUCCUACAACAUAGUGUAGAGAGGAGACGAGGUUAAGGCAGGACUGAUAGGGGGUGUUUUAUUAGUUACUCAGCACCUCAGGUCUACAGUACAGGCUGUCUGCUGUCCGCGGACACUUCUCCAAAAACUGCAAGAGAAAAAACAAAACAAAACAAAACAAAACAAACAAAAAAAAAACACCGACACAAAUCAGCGACUUUUUUUUUUUUUUGGUGCGAUUCGAGCGCUGAAAUUCAGGCUGAUUGUCGAGAAAAACUUAGUGAAACUCCGCUGGUUGCCUCUAAACAGAUCACUCAUGGAAAGCCAUCUUCUAUAUUAAAAAUGCCACAGCUAGUACAACACAAGAAAUCAGAUGGCAGUAGAGUGAGCAAUGGCCAGGGGCGAUAACUCCUCAGCGGUUUCAGAGUGCAGAUUGUUGUUCAAGGUGAGUCUUAAACUUGCAUUCUUGUCUCUUACAUGAUAUACUAAUCUAGAGGUUGAGUCAUGGCAACUGGACUUGUUUUUAGGUCGAAAUGUUUCACUAC